Molecule: ribosomal RNA, 544 nt
Filed under: uncultured bacterium
Lineage: Bacteria
Description: partial 16S ribosomal RNA
Rfam family: Bacterial small subunit ribosomal RNA
Source: RNAcentral
UGGGGAAUAUUGCACAAUGGGCGAAAGCCUGAUGCAGCAACGCCGCGUGAGUGAUGAAGGCCUUCGGGUUGUAAAGCUCUGUCUUUUGGGACGAUAAUGACGGUACCAAAGGAGGAAGCCACGGCUAACUACGUGCCAGCAGCCGCGGUAAUACGUAGGUGGCAAGCGUUGUCCGGAUUUACUGGGCGUAAAGGAUGCGUAGGCGGAUUUUUAAGUGAGAUGUGAAAACCCUAAGCUUAACUUGGGGACUGCAUUUCAUACUGGAAAUCUAGAGUGCGGGAGAGGAGAAUGGAAUUCCUAGUGUAGCGGUGAAAUGCGUAGAGAUUAGGAAGAACACCAGUGGCGAAGGCGAUUCUCUGGACCGUAACUGACGCUGAGGCAUGAAAGCGUGGGUAGCAAACAGGAUUAGAUACCCUGGUAGUCCACGCCGUAAACGAUGAGUACUAGGUGUAGGAGGUAUCGACCCCUUCUGUGCCGCAGUUAACACAAUAAGUACUCCGCCUGGGAAGUACGAUCGCAAGAUUAAAAACUUAAAUGAAUUGAC